RNAcentral lists this long non-coding RNA (1511 nucleotides) under Numida meleagris (helmeted guineafowl). RNAcentral's name for it is "lncRNA (ENSNMEG00000008460.1)". Lineage: Eukaryota; Metazoa; Chordata; Aves; Galliformes; Numididae. The record is from RNAcentral.
CAAGGGAAGGUCAUGCCUGACCAAUCUGGUGGCCUUCUAUGAUGGAGUGAUGACAUCACUGGACAAAGGUUGGAAUUGGUUGGAAGAUUAUCAGGGCUGGAACACCUCUCCUAUGAAGACGGGUUGAAGGAGCUGGGCUUGUUCAGUCUGGAGAAGAGAAGACUGCAGGGAGACCUCAUUACAGGCUUCCAGUAUUUAAAGGAAGCAACUGUGGGUGCCCCGUCCCUGGAGGCGUUCAAGGCCAGGUUGGAUGGGGCCCUGCACAGCCUGAGCUGGUGGGAGCAACCAGCCCAUGGCAGAGGAUGGGGCUGGGUGGGGCUUUGAGUUCCAUUCUGACCCAAGCCAUUCUGUGAUUCUAUGACAUUGUUUGGCAGUGUCACACAAGGUGUCCCUGCCACUGAAGCUCUCUGCUCCUGACCUCUGCACCCAGGCCAGCCUCUCACUGGAGUCCUGCCUUGGCCUGCUCCCCACCUUGCUCCAAUGGCAGGGAACAGGAGGCAGCAGAGCAACCACAGAGUGCAGGAUGCUCCUGGCAAUUUGCAAAGUGCUGUGAGCAGGAUAUGCCAAGAAUUCUAUAUCUAAACAUCCACCAAAUGUCCUCUGUCUCUGUAAAAGUCUCCAGGCCCCUUACCCUGAAAGCUAGGAAACUUUUUUUAUGCAUAACUACAUCAGAAUUGUCCUUGUGCAAACCUGGGCCUUUUGACUGAUAGGAGGAAACUGCCCAGACAGUUCCUUGGAGUGAAUCUCCUUUUCUCUGCCUUUGCCCUAGACCUGUAGUCACCAAGACAGACAUCCUAUCUGCUAUCGAAGGCUGAAACUGCAUCCUCUACUUGUCUUUUUGGCAGUCUCAUUACACCAAGCCCUCCCUGACAUGGCUUUCAGCCAGGGGGGAUUCACUCUUAUCUGAGUGAGUGUUGUCUGGAGGAAUGCAAGAUAGAAAGCACUGAGCAGAACCAUAUUCACCCUGCUGCUCUGCAUUGCACUUAGAAAGCUGUCUUCAGCAUUGCUAUUAGUCAUGCUCACAUGCAGUGCUCUUUUCAGAUUUUUUGAAGAAUUGCACUGAAUUAAUAAUACCUACUUUCAUAAUGGCUUUCAGGCUGAGCUUUCAAAAUGUUUACACAUGGAAGAUGAGCACUGAUGGGUAACUUGCAGAUGACUCAGUCAUUUAGUGGCAAAGCAGAAACAGAACUGGAGUUUCCUAUUUAGCACACCCUGAUACAGGGGGCAAAAUGCUGCCCUGGGGUUUGGCUUGCCCGUAUGCACGAUGUAAGAAAAGUGAUUCGUGGAAGGUGAUAGUUUACAUGGUGUGACAACUGUUGGGGUAGAUUUUGGGGAUCAGACCUAUUUUUUCAUUUCAUAUCCGUCUAGAACCCAACACACUGUGUCUUUCUGUUUCCAAUGAGCUGUUAGUGAUAACAGUAUCAGAAUUCAGAGCAGCCUCUGCAUUUUCUGACCAAAUAUUUCUUCUGUAGAUUAAAUAUCUAAUCAUAAUAAAAGUGAAUAAAGAUGCA